AUUGAACGCUGGCGGCAUGCUUUACACAUGCAAGUCGAACGGUAACAGGCCUUCGGGUGCUGACGAUUGGCGAACGGGUGAGUAAUGCAUCGGAACGUACCCAGAGGUGGGGGAUAACGCAGCGAAAGCUGUGCUAAUACCUCAUGUGAUCUGAGGAUGAAAGCGGGGGACCGAGCGGCAAUGUUUGGCCUCGCGCCUUUGGAGCGGCCGAUGUCGGAUUAGCUAGUUGGUGGGGUAAAGGCCUACCAAGGCGACGAUCCGUAGCUGGUCUGAGAGGACGACGACCAACACGGGGACGGAGAAACGGCCCAGACUCCUAGGGGGGGCAGAGGUGGGGAAUUUUGGACAAGGGGGGCAGGCCUGCCCCAGAAAGGCGGCGUGCGGGAAGAAGGCCUUCGGGUUGAAAACCGCUUUUGGAAGGAAGGAAGCGGUGUCCGCUAAUAACGGGCGCUAAUGACGGUACCUGCAGAAUAAGCAACGGCUAACUACGUG
Molecule: ribosomal RNA, 492 nt
Filed under: uncultured bacterium
Lineage: Bacteria
Description: partial 16S ribosomal RNA
Rfam family: Bacterial small subunit ribosomal RNA
Source: RNAcentral